GACGAACGCUGGCGGCGUGCCUAAUACAUGCAAGUCGAACGAGUGGCGGACGGGUGAGUAACACGUGGGAACCUACCCAUCAGAGGGGGAUAACUACUGGAAACGGUGGCUAAUACCGCAUACUAUCGGAUGACCCCAUAUGGGAUUGGCUAGUAGGUGGGGAAAAGUCUCACCUAGGCGACGAUCUCUAGCUGUGCUGAUAGGAUGAUCAGCCACACUUGGACUGAGACACGGCCCAGACUCCUCCGUGAGGCAGAAGUGGGGAAUAUUGAACAAUGGGCGCGAGCCUGAUGCAGCCAUGCCGCUUGUAUGAAGAAGGCCUUAGGGUUGUAAAGUACUUUCAGCGGGGAGGCGUUACCCGCAGAAGAAGCACCGGCUAACUCCGUGCCAGCCGCCGCGGUAAUAC
Molecule: ribosomal RNA, 406 nt
Filed under: uncultured bacterium
Lineage: Bacteria
Description: partial 16S ribosomal RNA
Rfam family: Bacterial small subunit ribosomal RNA
Source: RNAcentral